AUUGCUUCGCGGCCUUUUGGCUAAGAUCAAGUGUAGUACAUAUGUGUGCAAAUAUAUAUAUAUAUAUAUAUAUAUAUAUAUAUCCUAUUUCAAGACCAAGAAGUUGAUCUGAAAAGGUUGGAUAUUGAGACCUCUU
Molecule: small nuclear RNA, 136 nt
Filed under: Heterocephalus glaber (naked mole-rat)
Lineage: Eukaryota; Metazoa; Chordata; Mammalia; Rodentia; Bathyergidae
Description: U2 spliceosomal RNA (ENSHGLG00000049505.1)
Rfam family: U2 spliceosomal RNA (bases 1-101)
About the family: U2 is a small nuclear RNA (snRNA) component of the spliceosome (involved in pre-mRNA splicing). Complementary binding between U2 snRNA (in an area lying towards the 5' end but 3' to hairpin I) and the branchpoint sequence (BPS) of the intron results the bulging out of an unpaired adenosine, on the BPS, which initiates a nucleophilic attack at the intronic 5' splice site, thus starting the first of two transesterification reactions that mediate splicing.
Source: RNAcentral